AACGGGUGAGUAACGCGUGAGCAACCUACCUUAGUUACUGGGAUAGCCCGAGGAAACUCGGAUUAAUACCGGAUAUUCUUAUUUAAUCACAUGAUUUUUUAAGGAAAGGUCAGCCGAACUAAGAUGGGCUCGCGUUCUAUCAGCUAGUUGGUAGGGUAAUGGCCUACCAAGGCUACGACGGAUAGCUGGUCUGAGAGGACGAUCAGCCACACUGGGACUGAGACACGGCCCAGACUCCUACGGGAGGCUGCAGCAGGGAAUAUUGCGCAAUGAGCGAAAGCUUGACGCAGCGACACCGCGUGUGGGAUGACGGAUCUAGGUUUGUAAACCACUUUCAGGAGGGAAGAAAAUGACGGUACCUCCACAAGAAGCCCCGGCCAACUACGUGCCAGCAGCCGCGGUAAUACGUAGGGGGCGAGCGUUGUCCGGAUUUAUUGGGCGUAAAGAGCUCGUAGGCGGUUCAACAAGUCGGUCGUGAAAGUUCAGGGCUCAACCCUGAAAUGUCGAUCGAUACUGUUGUGACUAGGAUACGGUAGAGGUGAGUGGAAUUCCGAGUGUAGCGGUGAAAUGCGUAGAUAUUCGGAGGAACACCAAUUGCGAAGGCAGCUCACUGGGCCGCUAUCGACGCUGAGGAGCGAAAGCUAGGGGAGCAAACAGGAUUAGAUACCCUGGUAGUCCACGCCCUAAACGAUGUUUACUCGAUGUUGGCC
RNAcentral lists this ribosomal RNA (710 nucleotides) under uncultured bacterium. Its description in RNAcentral is "bacterial SSU rRNA". It matches the Rfam family "Bacterial small subunit ribosomal RNA", at positions 101 to 828 of the family's 1533-position model. The record is from RNAcentral.